AGUGAACGCUGGCGGUAGGCCUAACACAUGCAAGUCGAACGGCAGCACAGUAAGAGCUUGCUCUUACGGGUGGCGAGUGGCGGACGGGUGAGGAAUACAUCGGACUCUACUUUUUCGUGGGGGAUAACGUAGGGAAACUUACGCUAAUACCGCAUACGACCUACGGGUGAAAGCAGGGGAUCUUCGGACCUUGCGCUAUUGAAUGAGCCGAUGUCGGACUAGCUAGUUGGCGGGGUAAAGGCCCACCAAGGCGACGAUCCGUAGCUGGUCUGAGAGGAUGAUCAGCCACACUGGAACUGAGACACGGUCCAGACUCCUACGGGAGGCAGCAGUGGGGAAUAUUGGACAAUGGGCGCAAGCCUGAUCCAGCCAUACCGCGUGGGUGAAGAAGGCCUUCGGGUUGUAAAGCACUUUUGUUGGGAAAGAAAAGCAGAAGGUUAAUACCCCGCUGUUCUGACGUUACCCAAAGAAUAAGCACCGGCUAACUUCGUG
RNAcentral lists this ribosomal RNA (492 nucleotides) under uncultured bacterium. Its description in RNAcentral is "partial 16S ribosomal RNA". It matches the Rfam family "Bacterial small subunit ribosomal RNA", at positions 29 to 507 of the family's 1533-position model. The record is from RNAcentral.